RNAcentral lists this non-coding RNA (46 nucleotides) under Cinara cedri. It matches the Rfam family "Histone 3' UTR stem-loop". Rfam says of the family: The mRNAs of metazoan histone genes lack a poly-A tail. 3' end processing occurs at a site between a highly conserved stem-loop (modelled by this family) and a purine rich region around 20 nts downstream (the histone downstream element, or HDE). Lineage: Eukaryota; Metazoa; Arthropoda; Insecta; Hemiptera; Aphididae. The record is from RNAcentral.
AAAACGGCCCUUUUUAGGGCCACCAAUAUUAUAUUUGAUAAUUUAU